This 520-nucleotide long non-coding RNA is filed under the name Cicer arietinum (chickpea). Its description in RNAcentral is "long non-coding RNA (CARI_LNC001383)". Lineage: Eukaryota; Viridiplantae; Streptophyta; Magnoliopsida; Fabales; Fabaceae. The record is from RNAcentral.
AAGGACUAAAUCGGGGAAAAAAAAAGAUAAAAGACUAAAACGUUACUUGAAAUUAAAUUAAGGGACCGUAGAUGUAAUUUAGCCAAAUAAUUACUAUUUUCAUUAUGUUUUUGAUAUAGACAAUGACUUAAUAUAUUACAUCAUAAACUACAUUCAAACAAGGUUUCGCCGUUAUGAUUCCAUUCUACAGCAAGAGCCCAACACACAAUUAAUAUAUAUACAUAUAACACAUACACAAAUAUGAGUUAGACCGAAAUUUAUAUAUUAUUUGUUUUGUGGAUGAAAUCCACACGAUGAUAUAUUGGAUUUUACUAAUUCAUUGGUCCUACAAUUUAUACGAAUAGUUCAUGGAGAUUUAUAGAACUUCCCUUUUGCAUAAAUAAAUUUGUUAGUGUAACUUUUCCUACCCUACAAACAUAAGAUGUCUUGGACAUGUAGCAUUAGAGUUGUAAAGAGUCUAGUUGAAUUGGACACUUGUGUAAAAUUAGAAAUUUCCGUUUGACUCAUUUAUAUAAACGAG